This 266-nucleotide ribosomal RNA is filed under the name uncultured bacterium. RNAcentral's name for it is "partial 16S ribosomal RNA". It matches the Rfam family "Bacterial small subunit ribosomal RNA", at positions 88 to 354 of the family's 1533-position model. The record is from RNAcentral.
CAUUCGAGUGGCGGACGGGUGAGUAACGCGUGGGUAACCUGCCUUACACAGGGGGAUAACACCUGGAAACAGGUGCUAAUACCGCAUAAGCGCACAGGGCCGCAUGGCCCGGUGUGAAAAACUCCGGUGGUGUAAGAUGGACCCGCGUCUGAUUAGCUUGUUGGCGGGGUAGGGGCCCACCAAGGUGACGAUCAGUAGCCGGCCUGAGAGGGUGGACGGCCACAUUGGGACUGAGACACGGCCCAAACUCCUACGGAAGGCAGCAG